GACGAACGCUGGCGGCGUGCUUAACACAUGCAAGUCGAACGGAAAGGCCCUGCUUUUGUGGGGUGCUCGAGUGGCGAACGGGUGAGUAACACGUGAGUAACCUGCCCUUGACUUUGGGAUAACUUCAGGAAACUGGGGCUAAUACCGGAUAGGAGCUCCUGCUGCAUGGUGGGGGUUGGAAAGUUUCGGCGGUUGGGGAUGGACUCGCGGCUUAUCAGCUUGUUGGUGGGGUAGUGGCUUACCAAGGCUUUGACGGGUAGCCGGCCUGAGAGGGUGACCGGGCACAUUGGGACUGAGAUAGGGACCAGAGUCGUACGGGAGGCAGCAGUGGGGAAUAUUGCACAGUGAGCGGAAGCCUGAGGCAGCAGCGCCGCGUGCGGGAUGACGGCCUUCGGGUUGUGAACCGCUUUCGCCUGUGACGAAGCGUGAGUGACGGUAAUGGAUAAAGAAGCACCGGCUAACUACGUG
Molecule: ribosomal RNA, 468 nt
Filed under: uncultured bacterium
Lineage: Bacteria
Description: partial 16S ribosomal RNA
Rfam family: Bacterial small subunit ribosomal RNA
Source: RNAcentral